AGAGUUUGAUCCUGGCUCAGGACGAACGCUGGCGGCGUGCUUAACACAUGCAAGUCGAGCGGUAAGGCCCUUUCGGGGGUACACGAGCGGCGAACGGGUGAGUAACACGUGAGCAAUCUGCCCUUCACACAGGGAUAACUUCGGGAAACCGAAGCUAAUACCUGAUACGACCACUUCAGGCAUCUGAUGGUGGUGGAAAGUUCUGGCGGUGGAGGAUGAGCUCGCGGCCUAUCAGCUUGUUGNGUGGGGUAAUGGCCUACCAAGGCAACGACGGGUAGCCGGCCUGAGAGGGUGACCGGCCACACUGGGACUGAGACACGGCCCAGACUCCUACGGGAGGCAGCAGUGGGGAAUAUUGGACAAUGGGCGAAAGCCUGAUCCAGCAACGCCGCGUGAGGGAUGACGGCCUUCGGGUUGUAAACCUCUUUCAGCAGGGACGAAGCGCAAGUGACGGUACCUGCAGAAGAAGCACCGGCCAACUACGUGNCAGCACCGCGGUAAUACGUAGGGUGCGAGCGUUGUCCGGAAUUAUUGGGCGUAAAGGGCUCGUAGGCGGUUUGUCGCGUCGGGAGUGAAAACUCAGGGCUUAACCCUGAGCCUGCUUCCGAUACGGGCAGACUAGAGGUAUGCAGGGGAGAACGGAAUUCCUGGUGUAGCGGUGAAAUGCGCAGAUAUCAGGAGGAACACCGGUGGCGAAGGCGGUUCUCUGGGCAUUACCUGACGCUGAGGAGCGAAAGUGUGGGGAGCGAACAGGAUUAGAUACCCUGGUAGUC
RNAcentral lists this ribosomal RNA (773 nucleotides) under uncultured bacterium. Its description in RNAcentral is "bacterial SSU rRNA". It matches the Rfam family "Bacterial small subunit ribosomal RNA", at positions 8 to 795 of the family's 1533-position model. The record is from RNAcentral.